This 451-nucleotide ribosomal RNA is filed under the name uncultured bacterium. RNAcentral's name for it is "bacterial SSU rRNA". It matches the Rfam family "Bacterial small subunit ribosomal RNA", at positions 29 to 524 of the family's 1533-position model. The record is from RNAcentral.
AGCGAACGCUGGCGGCAGGCUUAACACAUGCAAGUCGAGCGGGCGUAGCAAUACGUCAGCGGCAGACGGGUGAGUAACACGUGGGAACGUACCUUUUGGUUCGGAACAACACAGGGAAACUUGUGCUAAUACCGGAUAAGCCCUUACGGGGAAAGAUUUAUCGCCAAAAGAUCGGCCCGCGUCUGAUUAGCUUGUUGGUGAGGUAACGGCUCACCAAGGCGACGAUCAGUAGCUGGUCGAGAGGAUGAUCAGCCACACUGGGACUGAGACACGGCCCAGACUCCUACGGGAGGCAGCAGUGGGGAAUAUUGGACAAUGGGCGAAAGCCUGAUCCAGCCAUGCCGCGUGAGUGAUGAAGGCCCUAGGGUUGUAAAGCUCUUUUGUGCGGGAAGAUAAUGACGGUACCGCAAGAAUAAGCCCCGGCUAACUUCGUGCCAGCCGCCGCAGUAAU